AAGUAAUGGACUAAAAGAGGAAACCAAAGAGACUAAACUUGUUUCUACGGUGAAGGCAAAUGGGGAGACAGGAGCUGCUAUCAUAGCUCCUAAAAAAGGCGGUGGCUGCGGUGGAGGAUGCAGCGGUGAAUGUGGAAACAUGGUGAAAGCAGCAAUCGCUAGCGGUUGCGGUAGUGGCUGUAGUGGUGAAUGUGGAGAGAUGGUGAAAAUAGCAAACGCUAGCGGCUGUGGUGGUGGUUGUAGUGGCGAAUGUGGAGACAUGAUGAAAGCAGCAAACGCUAGCGGUUGCGGUGGUGGCUGUAGUGGAGAAUGCGGAGGCAUGAUGAAAGCAGCAAACGCUAGCGGUUGCGGCGGUGGCUGUAGCGGUGAAUGCGGAAACAUGGUGAAAGCAGCAAACGCUAGCGGUUGCGGCGGUGGCUGUAGCGGUGAAUGCGGAAACAUGGUGAAAGCAGCA
RNAcentral lists this long non-coding RNA (454 nucleotides) under Eutrema salsugineum. Its description in RNAcentral is "long non-coding RNA (ESAL_LNC001437)". Lineage: Eukaryota; Viridiplantae; Streptophyta; Magnoliopsida; Brassicales; Brassicaceae. The record is from RNAcentral.